This 449-nucleotide ribosomal RNA is filed under the name uncultured soil bacterium. RNAcentral's name for it is "bacterial SSU rRNA". It matches the Rfam family "Bacterial small subunit ribosomal RNA", at positions 26 to 522 of the family's 1533-position model. The record is from RNAcentral.
AGAACGAACGCUGGCGGCAUGCCUAACACAUGCAAGUCGAACGAGACCUUCGGGUCUAGUGGCGCACGGGUGCGUAACGCGUGGGAAUCUGCCCUUAGGUUCGGAAUAACAGUUAGAAAUGACUGCUAAUACCGGAUAAUGUCUUCGGACCAAAGAUUUAUUGCCUAAGGAUGAGCCCGCGUAAGAUUAGCUAGUUGGUGAGGUAAAGGCUCACCAAGGCGACGAUCUUUAGCUGGUCUGAGAGGAUGAUCAGCCACACUGGGACUGAGACACGGCCCAGACUCCUACGGGAGGCAGCAGUGGGGAAUAUGGACAAUGGGCGAAAGCCUGAUCCAGCAAUGCCGCGUGGAGUGAUGAAGGCCUUAGGUUGUAAAGCUACGUUUACCCGGAUGAUAAUAGACAGUACCGGAGAAUAAGCCCCGACUAACGUCCGUGCCAGCGACGCCGAC